This 1152-nucleotide ribosomal RNA is filed under the name Triticum aestivum (bread wheat). RNAcentral describes it as "partial small subunit ribosomal RNA". Lineage: Eukaryota; Viridiplantae; Streptophyta; Magnoliopsida; Poales; Poaceae. The record is from RNAcentral.
AUGGCUUUCAUGCGCUCGUCGUCCUCAUCCAUGGCUCUGGCUCUGCUGCCGCUACUGGUGGCAGCCGCAUUCUUCAUCCCCUCCAUGGCUUCAUCAGCUUCAGGUACCCUGGACCAUGGCUUGGAUGGUGAGGCACUGCUGAUGCUGGGGAGGUUCCAUGGGUGGAUGGCGGCGCACGGUCGGUCGUACGCCACCGUGGAGGAGAAGCUGCACCGGUUUGAGGUGUACCGGAGCAACAUGGAGUUCAUCGAGGCGGCGAAUCGGGACAGCCGGAUGAGCUACAGCCUCGGCGAGACCCCGUUCACCGACCUCACCCACGACGAGUUCAUGGCCAUGUACAGCAGCAACGACGAGUCGUCAUGGGAGUCGGAGGAGAUGACGGUGAUCACAACUCGCGCUGGCCCCGUCCACGAGGGCACCGCCGCCGUCGAAGAGCCACCUCGUCAUACCAAUACCAAUCUGACGGCGGUGGUGCCUGCGAGCGUCGAUUGGAGGGAGAAAGGCGUCGUCACAGCAGCCAAGUAUCAAGGGGAAUCCUGUUCGUCUUGCUGGGCGUUCACGUCGGUGGCGACGAUGGAGAGCGCGCAUGCGAUCAGCACGGGCGGAUCGCCACCGGUGCUGUCGGAGCAGCAGCUGGUGGACUGUCGGAUUAACGGCUGCGGCAACAGUUGGAUGGACAAGGCCUUCGAGUGGGUGAUCCAGAACGGUGGCAUCACCACGGAGGCGGCCUACCCCUACACCGGCAAGGUGGGCACGUGCCAAAGGGCCAAGCCGGUCGCGGUGAAGCUCAGAGGCUACAAGAAGAUUUCACCACCCGGUGACGAGGCGGCGCUGAUGGCGGCCGUGGCGCAGCAGCCCGUCGCCGCAUCCUUCGACUACAGUGACCCCUGCUUCCAGCACUACAUCCGCGGCGUGUACAACGCCGGUUGCUCCAGGUCGGGCGUGUACAACAAAGGGGCGUGCGGGACAACGCAGAACCACGCGCUGGCCAUCGUCGGGUACGGGACCAAGCCUGACGGGACCAAGUACUGGAUUGGCAAGAACUCGUGGACUGACCAGUGGGGCGACAAAGGCUUCGUCUAUUUCCUUAGGGACUCGCCACCCUUGGGCUUGUGCGGCAUUGCCAAGUACCCGCUUUACCCUAUCAUCUGA